AAGGCGAACGAGCGGUUCAGU
Molecule: unclassified non-coding RNA, 21 nt
Filed under: Chlamydomonas reinhardtii
Lineage: Eukaryota; Viridiplantae; Chlorophyta; Chlorophyceae; Chlamydomonadales; Chlamydomonadaceae
Description: small RNA Cre_0125
Source: RNAcentral